CUCCCUCCCUCCUUCCUGCUUGACCCAUUUUCCCUCUUCCACAGUAUGCUCAAUAAAGUAAAUUUUAAAAAAAGGGCAAAUAGCAAAGAGACUAUGGAUUCAAUGCAAUCCUUAUAUAUACACCCCCAUUCCUUGCUAGUGCUGGCGACUGGACCCAGGGUUUUGUACCUGUGGCUUACCAAAACUUAGCUGUUUAUUUUCUGAAAAUAUGUUCUUAAAUUUCAUUUGGAAAUGGCAAGGGAUUCCCCCCACCGAAAAAAAGCCAAAACAAAGAGAGGGUUUUACACUGUCCAUUCAUAAAUCAGAAUGACUGAAUGGACUUACAGGAAACACAUGCAUCCCCUCACCCACAAAUUAAAGGCUGAGAUGGCUCUCGGAGCUGAGGAGAUGGAGGUCUGAGGCGUCCCUUCCGUCUGCAGCCAGUGAGUCUAAAGCGGUAGUAUAGGGCCGGCUGGCAAGCCAGGUCAGCAGGUAGCGCACGUGCCAUCCAAGCCUGAUGACCUAAGUUCUGACUGCUGGGCGUCACGGAGCAGAGAACCAACUCCCGGAAGUGGUCCUCUGACCUCUACAUGGGCUGAGGCAUGCGUGCGCCUGCGCAUCAGGUGCGCAUGCGGAUAAUAAUGACAUCGAUAGAGCACUACGCUUGUUCCUGGAGAUUUGCAAGACGCCAGCAUCAUCAGAAAUCAGGCAACAGGAACAGAAGUAGUUGCAGGCUUCUGUCUGACAGGAAUGGAGAUACUCAUGUGUCUGUAGCACGUUGUGCCUUUUGCUUGACUUUCGUCCAUGGGAACAUUUCUAAGUUCCUGGCUACUCCUGGCUUUGGGGAAGAUGGGCUAGCAGCUUGGAGCAAACUGAUCAACCCUGGCAUCUGGACCUGGCCUGGGACCUUCCAUCAUGUCGAAGGAGGACACUAUCUACAGGAUUAACCCUGAGACUGCACAGGGUGAUGUGGGAAGGAGUCGCUGACAUCUCUGGCAUAUCUGUUCUUCCUACAUUGUAAACUUUGACACAACCCUGUCUAUUUGGCCUGGGAGAAAUUAGCCUGUGAAAUUAUCUGUACCAAUCCACAACCUGGUCUACAGUUAUCUAUAGCCAUGUCCACAUACAAUAUAAAACGGUCUCUACAUAGGUUCUGUAAAACACACACGCAGACACACAGACACGCACAUAUAGACACACCCACACACUCACACGACUGGGGUAGGGGAUGGGGAGGAAGGGAGGGAGGAAGGGAGGGAGGGAGGGAAGGAAGGAUGAAUUCUGUAGCAAGCCAUUGACUUGAACCCCAACAUCUGAUCCGAAACCCGAAGGUUCAGAAGAAUGACAAAAUGUCCUCACGUUGGAAGCAAGGUGAUGUUCAAACCCAUCCAUUAGCUAUUCUGUGGGCCGGAACUGGAAUCCAAAGAAGGCUCUCCACACAGUAAGAGCCCGAUUGCUCCUCCUGGUACUCAGAGAACUGCUUCCUCUCCCCUGCUCCGAGUUCCUCACGUGACCUCCCGGAACUGGAGUUCCUGGCGGUCUCCUGAGUCCUCCCUCAUUCCGUGCCCUCUUUUCAUUCCAUAGCCUUCCAAUGAAUUUCUAACCUCAGUGCCAUGUCUCCACCAUGCAGAUCAGGCCGUUUGGCCCCAGCCAGACUAACCUCCCUCCUCCACACAGGGCCUUUUGGAGCUCCCUGCCAUGCUGGAAUAGUCUCCGUGGACCUGGGACAACAAGAAAGCUGUCUUCUGGGGGUUCCUGUGAACCUUUCAGAACUCACAACACCCCCCCCCUUAUAGGCCUGAGGUGCUGCCCUCGGCUUGCUAUUCUGCUGUCCUCUAGGCUCAGGUUGUCGCUUGUGAUUUGCCUGCCUGCACGUCUGGAAGGUAAAGCCCUCAGGGCGGAUGAAGGAUCAGGAUGAAGGCUCAGAUGGCCAGUAGUGAAAGCCUAGGUAAAGGAGCCAUGGCUGGUGAGGAGUGUGUCCUCAGAAAGACACAGCCCUCCCAGGAACUCCACCAAGGACAACUUCCAACACCUUCUGUUUGGCUUAAGAAUUCCACCUGCUCGGGGCUGGGGAUUUAGCUCAGUGGUAGAGCGCUUACCUAGGAAGCGCAAGGCCCUGGGUUCGGUCCCCAGCUCCGAAAAAAAGAACCAAAAAAAAAAAAAAAAAAGAAUUCCACCUGCUCGCUAAGGAGCUUGACACAUUGUUCCACAAAUGAAGAUUCCUAGACAAUAAAGGACGGAGCUGUAGAUUAUAGAUUUUGAGCUGGAAUGUUGGUUUCCUGCCCUCGAAUCUGUGCUCUUUUGUCAGAACCAACUGCCUGGCUGGCUCCUCCUCUUCCUCAGGCUUACUAAAGCAGAGACUGGACCGGAAGCCUUCCCUGAGAUGGCGGGUGGGGGUGGGGCUUAGGCGUGGACGAUGCUUGGGAGGCGUGGUUUGUGAAUGCCCUAGUUCUUUUUCAUCUGGCUAGGGAAGAUUGUAGCACACACUCGCUCCUAAUUCGAUUUUGUUUUAUCCUAGAGAAGUCAUAUAAAGGAAGGAAUGAAAAUUGACACUCCAUUUUAUUUCGUAUGCUUUUAUCAACACAUUCUGUUGGGAAAAAAAGGAGGGAGUGUCUGGCUCACAAUUGCAUUUUUUUUUUAAUUUGUUCUGUUUUGUUUAGGCAGAGGAGUGUUUGAGGGCUCAGCAUCUCCUUGGCUCAUCCUGACUGGGUUCUAAUCCUUGGCAUUUGAGCUGUUUAUGGAAAUGGUCACAGUCAAACGUGGUCCCAUCCCACUGCUGUUUGUCACACUGGGCAAGAAGAGGUCCCGGGACCUGUUGCAAUAGUAGCUGGAGACGCAGCUCCCGCUAAUGCUCUCAGGGACACCUGACAAUUCUCAGGUUACAAGACAUCCGUGCUUUCUCCCAAUUCACAAACUGUCAAGAGGGGUACGCCAGCUGCCUGGUAACUCUACUGUCACCGCCACGUGUACAGAUUCCCUUAACAUCCGGAUGACUGUGGAUACUAGUUAGCAGUCCUAAUUUUGAUGCGCACUGUAACCAGCUACCUCACACUGCUCCUGGCAUGCCUACUCUUCCACGGUGGACUAUAUCCCUUCCUUCUUAGAUGAUCCAACAAGGCUCUUGUGGCUUCAGGAUACAGCGAGGAGGAGGAGGACAUUGGAAGAGGAGCCACAUUGGUGAACAGAGAACAGUGAGAGCAGGGAGGAGCAGCAGCCAUUGGGGACGACUCUCCAAAUGCCUAGCACGCCAGGCCUGGGGUGCAGAAGAAACUCAUCAACGGCAGAACUCGACUUCUCACACUUCAGGGGGAAAUGUCAAUCACAGCUCAGGAGGGUAAUGUCAUGGCAUAUUUGAGAUGGUUCAUAGAUGGCACCUCCUCAUUGGAUCCUCCCAGGGGCAAAGGAGCAGUGGGUCUCUCCCAGCCUUUUUUCACAAGUGUGCUGAUGUCACUUCUGGGGGCUCUAGACUCGUGACCUCAAUGUCCCUGCCCUAAUGCCAUCACGAUGAGCAUGUCUCAUUGCAUAUGAACUUCGUGUGUCUCAUUACAUAUGGCUCAUAACAUACAUACAUUGGAUGACGCUAACAUCAGACCACAUGUGUUGGUAAUACUGACUGUCACCUUGACAGGUUCUGGGGUAACCUAGGAGAUGAACCUUGUACUGGCUGGUUCUGUAUGUCAACUCAACACAAGCUGCAGUUAUCACAGAGAAAGGGGCCUCCCUUGGGGAAAUGCCUCCAUGAGAUCCAGCUGUAAGGCGUUUUCUCAAUUAGUGAUCAAGGGUGGGAAGGCCCAUUGUGGGUGGUGCCAACCCUGGGCUGGUGGUCCUGGGUUCUAUAAGAAAGCAGGUUGAGCAAGCCAGGGGAAGCAAGCCAGUAAGCAAUAUCCCUCCAUGGCCUCUGCAUCAGCUCCUGCCUCCAGGUUCCUGCCCUGUGUGAGUUCCUCUCCUGACUACCUUUGGUGAUGAGAAGCAAUGUGGAAGUGUAAGCUGAAUAAACUCUUUCCUUCCCAA
Non-coding RNA from Rattus norvegicus (Norway rat), 3990 nucleotides. The record is from RefSeq and is a predicted model, not a curated record. Lineage: Eukaryota; Metazoa; Chordata; Mammalia; Rodentia; Muridae.